RNAcentral lists this ribosomal RNA (459 nucleotides) under uncultured bacterium. Its description in RNAcentral is "partial 16S ribosomal RNA". It matches the Rfam family "Bacterial small subunit ribosomal RNA", at positions 338 to 795 of the family's 1533-position model. The record is from RNAcentral.
CCUACGGGUGGCAGCAGUGAGGAAUAUUGGUCAAUGGCCGAGAGGCUGAACCAGCCAAGUCGCGUGAGGGAAGACGGCCCUACGGGUUGUAAACCUCUUUUGUCGGGGAGCAAAGCGAGUCACGUGUGACUCAUUGAGAGUACCCGAAGAAAAAGCAUCGGCUAACUCCGUGCCAGCAGCCGCGGUAAUACGGAGGAUGCGAGCGUUAUCCGGAUUUAUUGGGUUUAAAGGGUGCGUAGGCGGAAUAUCAAGUCAGCGGUAAAAAUUCGGGGCUCAACCCCGUCGUGCCGUUGAAACUGAUGUUCUUGAGUGGGCGAGAAGUAUGCGGAAUGCGUGGUGUAGCGGUGAAAUGCAUAGAUAUCACGCAGAACUCCGAUUGCGAAGGCAGCAUACCGGCGCCCAACUGACGCUGAAGCACGAAAGCGUGGGUAUCGAACAGGAUUAGAUACCCUAGUAGUC